CAUUGGAAUUUUCAAAACGGAGGAAAAGAAACCAACAGGGAUUCCCUUAGUAACGGCGAGUGAACCGGGAAAAGCUCAAAUUUGAAAUCUGCCAACAGGCCGAGUUGUAAUUUGUAGAUGGCUACACUGCAUAAUAGUAGAUGCUCAAGUUCUUUGGAAAAAGACAUCAUGGAGGGUGACAAUCCCGUGAGGCAUGUUACUAGGAGCAUAUAGUGGGCUUUCUAAGAGUCGAGUUGUUUGGGAAUGCAGCUCAAAGUGCGUGGUGAAUACCAUGUAAAGCUAAAUAUGGACGAGAGACCGAUAGCGAACAAGUACUGUGAAGGAAAGAUGAAAAGCACUCCGAAAGGAGAGUGAAAUAGUACGUGAAAUUGUUAAAGUGGAAGGGCUUGAGAUCAGAAUUGGUAGUUUGGGUUCCACGUCCUCUUGGGGGCGUGUACUCCCUUUCCACCGGGCCAGCGGGAGUUUCGUCUCUUGGGUAAAAGCAGUGGAAUGUAGCAGCUUGUCUGUAUUAUAGCCUCUGUUCAUACAAGACGUCGAGACUGUUCGUGGC
RNAcentral lists this ribosomal RNA (550 nucleotides) under Wickerhamiella pararugosa. RNAcentral's name for it is "eukaryotic LSU rRNA". It matches the Rfam family "Eukaryotic large subunit ribosomal RNA", at positions 34 to 593 of the family's 3401-position model. The record is from RNAcentral. Lineage: Eukaryota; Fungi; Ascomycota; Dipodascomycetes; Dipodascales; Trichomonascaceae.